ACUCCUACGGGAGGCAGCAGUGGGGAAUAUUGGACAAUGGGGGAAACCCUGAUCCAGCCAUGCCGCGUGUGUGAAGAAGGCCUUCGGGUUGUAAAGCACUUUCAGUGGGGAGGAAAGGUUGAUGGUUAAUACCUAUCAGCUGUGGCACGUUUACCCACAUGAAGAAGCACCGGCUAACUCCGUGCCAGCAGCCGCGGUAAUACGGAGGGUGCAAGCGUUAAUCGGAAUUACUGGGCGUAAAGCGUGCGCAGGCGG
RNAcentral lists this ribosomal RNA (255 nucleotides) under uncultured bacterium. RNAcentral's name for it is "partial 16S ribosomal RNA". It matches the Rfam family "Bacterial small subunit ribosomal RNA", at positions 335 to 578 of the family's 1533-position model. The record is from RNAcentral.